RNAcentral lists this ribosomal RNA (662 nucleotides) under uncultured fungus. RNAcentral's name for it is "eukaryotic LSU rRNA". It matches the Rfam family "Eukaryotic large subunit ribosomal RNA", at positions 24 to 664 of the family's 3401-position model. The record is from RNAcentral. Lineage: Eukaryota; Fungi.
CCCGCUGAACUUAAGCAUAUCAUUAAGCGGAGGAAAAGAAAUCAACGAAGAUUGCCUCAGUAGCGGCGAGCGAAGCGGCAAGAGUCCAAGUUUAAAAUCUGAGGUGUUCCACCUCCGAAUUGUAAUCUAAAGAGCGUAGCAAAAGGGGAUGUUGAAGCAUAAGUGCCAUGAAACUGGCUGUCAAAGAGGGUGAAAAUCCCGUGCUUGGCUUCGACUGAACCGAAUGCUUUGUUUCAAAGAGUCGGGUUGUUUGGGAUUGCAGCCCUAAAUGGGAGAUAAACUUCUUCUAAGACUAAAUAUUGAUGGGAAACCGAUAGCGAACAAGUACUGUGAAGGAAAGAUGAAAAGAACUUUGAAAAGAGGGUUAAAAAGACCUGAAAUCGUUGAGAAGGAAGCGGUACGAACGAAUCAAUUGUCAUCGAAGUAAGCGGAGUGAUGUAAGUUUGGUGUAGGUAACAGUUCGUCAAAGGCUGUCUGGCACCAAGUGAAGUCUUCUGUGAUUUCGGCGGCAAAAGGCAAGAUGGGUUCAGACCUACCGGAAUCAGUGAAUGAAACGUCGGGAGUUAUGCUCUCAGCUCAUUCUCUAAACGGUCUGCUGGACUGAGGGCACUUUUUAUGUGAUCUUGCCAAGAUGGUUCGUACUGACCCGUCUUGAAACACGG